RNAcentral lists this ribosomal RNA (119 nucleotides) under Lactococcus lactis subsp. lactis bv. diacetylactis. The record is from RNAcentral. Lineage: Bacteria; Bacillati; Bacillota; Bacilli; Lactobacillales; Streptococcaceae.
UAUUUGGUAUUUAUUGCAUAGGAGAUAUACCUGUUCCCAUGUCGAACACAGAAGUCAAGUCCUUUUGCGCUGGAAGUACUUGGGGGUUGCCCCCUGGGAGAUAAAGACGAUGCCAAGUU